Molecule: ribosomal RNA, 843 nt
Filed under: uncultured bacterium
Lineage: Bacteria
Description: bacterial SSU rRNA
Rfam family: Bacterial small subunit ribosomal RNA
Source: RNAcentral
GGGAGCUUGCUCCGCUGACGAGUGGCGAACGGGUGAGUAAUAUAUCGGAACGUACCCAAGAGUGGGGGAUAACGUAGCGAAAGUUACGCUAAUACCGCAUACGAUCCAAGGAUGAAAGCAGGGGACCUUCGGGCCUUGUGCUCCUGGAGCGGCCGAUAUCUGAUUAGCUAGUUGGUGAGGUAAAGGCUCACCAAGGCGACGAUCAGUAGCUGGUCUGAGAGGACGACCAGCCACACUGGAACUGAGACACGGUCCAGACUCCUACGGGAGGCAGCAGUGGGGAAUUUUGGACGAUGGGCGCAAGCCUGAUCCAGCAAUGCCGCGUGAGUGAAGAAGGCCUUCGGGUUGUAAAGCUCUUUUGUCAGGGAAGAAACGGCUGUGGCUAAUAUCCACGGCUAAUGACGGUACCUGAAGAAUAAGCACCGGCUAACUACGUGCCAGCAGCCGCGGUAAUACGUAGGGUGCAAGCGUUAAUCGGAAUUACUGGGCGUAAAGCGUGCGCAGGCGGUUUUGUAAGUCUGUCGUGAAAUCCCCGGGCUCAACCUGGGAAUUGCGAUGGAGACUGCAAGGCUAGAAUCUGGCAGAGGGGGGUAGAAUUCCACGUGUAGCAGUGAAAUGCGUAGAGAUGUGGAGGAACACCGAUGGCGAAGGCAGCCCCCUGGGUCAAGAUUGACGCUCAUGCACGAAAGCGUGGGGAGCAAACAGGAUUAGAUACCCUGGUAGUCCACGCCCUAAACGAUGUCUACUAGUUGUCGGGUUUUAAUUAACUUGGUAACGCAGCUAACGCGUGAAGUAGACCGCCUGGGGAGUACGGUCGCAAGAUUAAAACUCAAAGGAAUUGAC